GCCGAACUAGUUGCGGCCACCGAGCAGCCGGCUCUCGGCACCUCCUCCUCCGCCUCCCUGUCUCCUGUUCCAUUCGCCUUUCCUCUUCUUUCCUGGCCCACGCCGCUCCGAGGCCUCGCGACCGCCGAGCCUGCAGCCUGCCCCGCGGCCAACAUGAGCUUCUUGUUUGGUAGUCGCUCUUCUAAAACUUUUAAACCAAAGAAGAACAUUCCAGAGGGUUCUCACCAGUAUGAGCUCUUAAAACACGCAGAAGCCACACUUGGCAGUGGCAACCUUCGGAUGGCUGUCAUGCUUCCUGAGGGGGAAGAUCUCAAUGAAUGGGUUGCAGUUAACACUGUGGAUUUCUUCAAUCAGAUCAACAUGCUUUAUGGAACUAUCACAGACUUCUGUACAGAAGAGAGUUGUCCAGUGAUGUCAGCUGGCCCAAACUGCCGGGAAGUCAACAUUUGUGAAUAUCCUUAAACAAUUGUGUGAAGAUUGGGAAGUGGUUCCUGAACCUGUUGCCAGAUGGUGCAAUGUUCAAAGUACUCAAGAUGAAUUUGAGGAACUUACAAUGUCUCAGAAAAAUGGUGGGAAUGUUCUUCAGAUGAUGUAUGAGAAACCUGAACGAUGGUCUUUUACCUUCCA
Molecule: small RNA, 627 nt
Filed under: Pan troglodytes (chimpanzee)
Lineage: Eukaryota; Metazoa; Chordata; Mammalia; Primates; Hominidae
Description: processed transcript
Source: RNAcentral